AGCGAACGCUGGCGGCAGGCCUAACACAUGCAAGUCGAACGAACUCUUCGGAGUUAGUGGCGGACGGGUGAGUAACACGUGGGAACGUGCCUUUAGGUUCGGAAUAAAUCAGGGAAACUUGUGCUAAUACCGAAUGUGCCCUUCGGGGGAAAGAUUUAUCGCCUUUAGAGCGGCCCGCGUCUGAUUAGCUAGUUGGUGAGGUAAAGGCUCACCAAGGCGACGAUCAGUAGCUGGUCUGAGAGGAUGAUCAGCCACAUUGGGACUGAGACACGGCCCAAACUCCUACGGGAAGCAGCAGUGGGGAAUCUUGCGCAAUGGGCGAAAGCCUGACGCAGCCAUGCCGCGUGAAUGAUGAAGGUCUUAGGAUUGUAAAAUUCUUUCACCGGGGACGAUAAUGACGGUACCCGGAGAAGAAGCCCCGGCUAACUUCGUG
This 433-nucleotide ribosomal RNA is filed under the name uncultured bacterium. RNAcentral's name for it is "partial 16S ribosomal RNA". It matches the Rfam family "Bacterial small subunit ribosomal RNA", at positions 29 to 507 of the family's 1533-position model. The record is from RNAcentral.